GACGAACGCUGGCGGCGUGCCUAAUACAUGCAAGUUGAGCGAUGAAGAUUGGUGCUUGCACCAAUUUGAAGAGCAGCGAACGGGUGAGUAACGCGUGGGGAAUCUGCCUUUGAGCGGGGGACAACAUUUGGAAACGAAUGCUAAUACCGCAUAACAACUUUAAACAUAAGUUUUAAGUUUGAAAGAUGCAAUUGCAUCACUCAAAGAUGAUCCCGCGUUGUAUUAGCUAGUUGGGGAGGUAAAGGCUCACCAAGGCGAUGAUACAUAGCCGACCUGAGAGGGUGAUCGGCCACAUUGGGACUGAGACACGGCCCAAACUCCUACGGGAGGCAGCAGUAGGGAAUCUUCGGCAAUGGACGAAAGUCUGACCGAGCAACGCCGCGUGAGUGAAGAAGGUUUUCGGAUCGUAAAACUCUGUUGGUAGAGAAGAACGUUGGUGAGAGUGGAAAGCUCAUCAAGUGACGGUAACUACCCAGAAAGGGACGGCUAACUACGUG
Molecule: ribosomal RNA, 497 nt
Filed under: uncultured bacterium
Lineage: Bacteria
Description: partial 16S ribosomal RNA
Rfam family: Bacterial small subunit ribosomal RNA
Source: RNAcentral